CCUGGUAAUUAUAGAGAUUAGGAACUACCUGAUUCCAUUCCGAACUCAGAAGUAAAACUAAUCUUCGCCGAUGAUAUUCCAGAUUUAUUCUGGGAGAAAGUAGGACAUCGCCAGGG
Molecule: ribosomal RNA, 116 nt
Filed under: Parcubacteria group bacterium CG_4_9_14_0_2_um_filter_35_11
Lineage: Bacteria
Source: RNAcentral